GACGAACGCUGGCGGCGUGCCUAACACAUGCAAGUCGAGCGGAGCCAUAUCGAAGAUUCUUCGGAUGAUUUGAUGGAAGCUUAGCGGCGGACGGGUGAGUAACGCGUGAGUAACCUGCCUGUAAGAGGGGAAUAAUUCAUGGAAACGUGGACUAAUACCGCAUAUUGAGUAUUUAUCGCAUGGUAGAUGCUUGAAAGAUUUAUCGCUUACAGAUGGACUCGCGUCUGAUUAGCUAGUAGGUAGGGUAACGGCCUACCUAGGCGACGAUCAGUAGCCGAACUGAGAGGUUGAUCGGCCACAUUGGGACUGAGACACGGCCCAG
RNAcentral lists this ribosomal RNA (322 nucleotides) under uncultured bacterium. RNAcentral's name for it is "bacterial SSU rRNA". It matches the Rfam family "Bacterial small subunit ribosomal RNA", at positions 28 to 334 of the family's 1533-position model. The record is from RNAcentral.